This 1540-nucleotide long non-coding RNA is filed under the name Ananas comosus (pineapple). RNAcentral describes it as "long non-coding RNA (ACOM_LNC011969)". The record is from RNAcentral. Lineage: Eukaryota; Viridiplantae; Streptophyta; Magnoliopsida; Poales; Bromeliaceae.
CUUUACAUCAUAACCUAGGUUCAUUUACACUAGGUUUUAUAUUCUUUCUCCUAGAUCUCAACUCUAGGUUUACUUACUUGACCUAUGUCCAAUGACACUAGGUUAAUGUCCGACCUAUGUUCAAUAACAUUAGGUUCAUUUCAUGUCCAACCUAUGUUUAAUAACACUAGGUUCAUGCCACUCGAUCUAUUCAUUAUCCUAGUUAUCCACGCCUAGGAUUAUAAUUUGCACAUUUUCAUUUACUUUGUUACCGUCCAGAUUUCUACUCAAUUGGAGUUGUCGAUUUAUACCCAAUUCUUAGGGAUUUAACAUGAGGUUCAUAGUUUACAUAUUCUCACUUAUCUUGUUACCAUCGAGAUUUCUAAUCAACUAGAAUUAUCGACAUUCAUAUAGCUUGAACUAUAGUACAUUCACUUUCAUAUAUGUUUAGACAUAGGCAUCAAACUUCCACUUUUAUGUGGAAACAAUUAUGUAGGCUUUAGCAUCUAUGUUCAUAAUUCAUAUUCAGUUUACAUGCCCUUGGCAUUUACAGGUUCAACAUUCAUAUAUCAUAUGUUUGCUCCUAUGAAUUUAGCAUAACCAUGCAUCUAGCUUUCACGUUCAUAUAUCGACAAUUAUAUGUAUCUAGCAUGAUCUACAAUAUAUUCAUAUGCCUCUAGCAUGUUCAUCAUCUGAUUACCAUUAUACAUCAUCUAGCAUUAACCAUAAUGCAUUCAUAUGUUAUUAAUCAUAUAUGCCUACUCAUAUGCAAUUAGCAUUAAUGUUCAUAUGUCGACAAUCAUAUUCAUAUAUGCGUCAAAUGAAACCAUAUUUUACUUUGGCAUGGAAGUGACCUAAUCACUUCGGUAAAGCACAACCCACCUUUACUUGAUACUGGAAUGCGAGAAAUCCGCUUCUCGCACUUUCCCGAGAACCGCGACCCGCGCUCCCGACAAUUGUAGCCGAGAAUGUUCUUUUGGCGAUAUCUUCACGUAGGCUCGACGGAUUGCCGAACCGAUUUCGCCAACGCGUUUGUUUUACCCUCAAUUAGGUUUGUACGCGGUCAAUUUCACGUUAGGACUUCAAUCCUGCAAAAGUGCAUUCUCGAGGUCAGUUUCUAUAGAAACCUGUUUCUAUGAAAUUUCACAAUUUACAUAGAGUAAUUCAACUCUUUACUAGCCCAAGAACCUCAAAACAAUUAGUUUAGAGGUCUCACAUCAAUCCCUAAUAAAGGAUUACAAAAAUCUACCCAAAUAAUUCAAUUCCAUCUUUCUCUCUAUCUUAUUUUCUUUCUUUCAUUUUUCUUCUUAUUCUUUCUUUCUUUCUUUCUUUCUUUCUUUCUUUUCUUUCUUGCUUUCUUCCUUUUCUUUUCUUUCUUUCUUUCUUGCUUCCCCUGCAGCUGAGCUGCUGCUGAUGCUGCACUACUGCUGGCAGGGCUGCUGUUGCUGGCUGGCUACUGCUGCUGCUGACAGCAGCUAGGCUGAGCUGCUGCUGCUGCUGUGCAAGCUGCUGCUACUGCUGCUGUUGACUGUUGCAGCUGCUGCUUUAGCUGCUGCUGCUG